RNAcentral lists this long non-coding RNA (661 nucleotides) under Phoenix dactylifera (date palm). Its description in RNAcentral is "long non-coding RNA (PDAC_LNC019824)". The record is from RNAcentral. Lineage: Eukaryota; Viridiplantae; Streptophyta; Magnoliopsida; Arecales; Arecaceae.
UUUCGAAAAAGCUGAAACAGCUUCCUCCCAAAAGCUCCAAAUUGCAGCUUCCUCCCAAAAGCUGUUUUCAGCUUCCCGCAAAAGCUGAAACAGCUUUUUGAAAAAUUUACCAAACACAGUUUUUCAUCUAAAAGUACUUUUGGAGGGCCAGAAAGUGCUUUCUGGCCCUCCAAAAGCUCCCCCAAACAGGGCCUUAUUCUCUUGGGGAUAGUUUCUUUGGUUUUGUAAGCUUGUUCAUUUGCGAACUGUAUUGUGAAUAGGACAGAUGGCACAGGACACAGAUCUUCAGAGACAGUCGCUGAAGAAAGGUGAAUGGGUUCGACUGAGCGAUUUUGACUUGGAUCUUCAAGGAUUGUGCUAUGGCCCAGUCUAGUCUCGGGUUUGGCAAGAAAUUAACCUUGUGCAAACUGUAUAGCAGUCCUGAAUGGCAGCAGCGGGCCUGGAACUUCAGGGAUUGUGCCUUUGCCAAAUCUGAUCUCAGUUGUGGCAAGCACUGUACACACGGUCCAACAGCCAUGAACGACGGUAUUGCGAGGAGCGGACGGUGAAGGAACGCAAGUGAUCAAUUCGAUGAGGAAAAUUAUUCAGAAGUCCCUGUGCAAACAAUGUGGGGUAAUGCGUACAUGGCACUGAGGUGGCAGAAAGAGAAAAUUAUGCAUUU